ACUCAAAGGAAUAGACGGGGGCCCGCACAAGCAGCGGAGCGUGUGGUUUAAUUCGAUGCAACGCGCAGAACCUUACCCAGACUUGACAUGGCCUUGCAAGCCGGGGAAACCCGGCCCUCUUCGGACAGGGUCACAGAUGUUGCAUGGCUGUCGUCAGCUCGUGUCGUGAGAUGUUGGGUUAAGUCCCGCAACGAGCGCAACCCUCGUGCGAUGUUGCAACUCAUCGCAGACUGCCGGUACAAGCCGGAGGAAGGUGGGGAUGACGUCAAGUCCGCAUGGCUCUUACGUCUGGGGCUACACACACGCUACAAUGGCCGGGACAGAGUGCUGCCACCUCGCGAGAGGGAGCUAAUCACAAAACCCGGUCUCAGUUCGGAUGGCAGGCUGCAACUCGCCUGCCUGAAGUCGGAGUUGCUAGUAACCGCGUGUCAGCAUAGCGCGGUGAAUAUGUUCCCGGGCCUUGUACACACCGCCCGU
RNAcentral lists this ribosomal RNA (477 nucleotides) under uncultured bacterium. Its description in RNAcentral is "partial 16S ribosomal RNA". It matches the Rfam family "Bacterial small subunit ribosomal RNA", at positions 899 to 1397 of the family's 1533-position model. The record is from RNAcentral.